UUCCGGUUGAUCCUGCCGGACCUGACUGCUAUCGGAUUGAUACUAAGCCAUGCGAGUCAUUGUAGCAAUACAAGGCAUACGGCUCAGUAACGCGUAGUCAACCUAACCUAUGGACGGGAAUAACCUCGGGAAACUGAGAAUAAUGCCCGAUAGAACAUUAUGCCUGGAAUGGUUUAUGUUCCAAAUGAUUUAUCGCCGUAGGAUGGGACUGCGGCCUAUCAGUUUGUUGGUGAGGUAAUGGCCCACCAAGACUAUUACAGGUACGGGCUCUGAGAGGAGUAGCCCGGAGAUGGGUACUGAGACACGGACCCAGGCCCUAUGGGGCGCAGCAGGCGAGAAAACUUUGCAAUGUGCGAAAGCACGACAAGGUUAAUCCGAGUGAUUUGUGCUAAACGAAUCUUUUGUUAGUCCUAGAAACACUAACGAAUAAGGGGUGGGCAAGUUCUGGUGUCAGCCGCCGCGGUAAAACCAGCACCUCAAGUGGUCAGGAUGAUUAUUGGGCCUAAAGCAUCCGUAGCCGGCUCUGUAAGUUUUCGGUUAAAUCUGUACGCUUAACGUACAGGCUGCCGGGAAUACUGCAAAGCUAGGGAGUGGGAGAAGUAGACGGUACUCGGUAGGAAGUGGUAAAAUGCUUUGAUCUAUCGAUGACCACCUGUGGCGAAGGCGGUCUACUAGAACACGUCCGACGGUGAGGGAUGAAAGCUGGGGGAGCAAACCGGAUUAGAUACCCGGGUAGUCCCAGCUGUAAACUAUGCAAACUCAGUGAUGCAUUGGCUUGUGGCCAAUGCAGUGCUGCAGGGAAGCCGUUAAGUUUGCCGCCUGGGAAGUACGUACGCAAGUAUGAAACUUAAAGGAAUUGGCGGGGGAGCACCACAAGGGGUGAAGCCUGCGGUUCAAUUGGAUUCAACGCCGGG
This 914-nucleotide ribosomal RNA is filed under the name uncultured marine archaeon. RNAcentral describes it as "bacterial SSU rRNA". It matches the Rfam family "Archaeal small subunit ribosomal RNA", at positions 1 to 922 of the family's 1478-position model. The record is from RNAcentral.